AUUGAACGCUAGCGGGAUGCUUUACACAUGCAAGUCGAACGGCAGCGCGAGGUAAGCUUGCUUACUUUGGCGGCGAGUGGCGAACGGGUGAGUAAUGUAUCGGAACGUACCCAGUAGCGGGGGAUAACUACGCGAAAGCGUGGCUAAUACCGCAUACGCCCUACGGGGGAAAGGGGGGGAUCUUAGGACCUCUCACUAUUGGAGCGGCCGAUAUCGGAUUAGCUAGUUGGUGAGGUAAAGGCUCACCAAGGCUGCGAUCCGUAGCUGGUUUGAGAGGACGACCAGCCACACUGGGACUGAGACACGGCCCAGACUCCUACGGGAGGCAGCAGUGGGGAAUUUUGGACAAUGGGGGCAACCCUGAUCCAGCCAUCCCGCGUGUGCGAUGAAGGCCUUCGGGUUGUAAAGCACUUUUGGCAGGGAAGAAAGGGCGCGUGGUUAAUACCUGGCGUUGAUGACGGUACCUGCAGAAUAAGCACCGCUAACUA
Molecule: ribosomal RNA, 488 nt
Filed under: uncultured bacterium
Lineage: Bacteria
Description: bacterial SSU rRNA
Rfam family: Bacterial small subunit ribosomal RNA
Source: RNAcentral